GGUGUGGCCAGCACGUCUUGCCAAGACCCCACCACCCCACCCACCCGCAUCUGUGGCCUUCUGGAACCGAGCUGUGGCCUGGGGUUCCAUGGAGCAGGUGGGGCGCGGAGGAACUGAGCUGUGGCCUGGGGUUCCGUGGAGCAGGUUGAGUAUGGAGGAACUGGGGUUCCGUGGAGCAGGUGGGGCGCAGAGGAACCGAGCUGUGGAAUGGGGUUCCGUGGAGCAGGUUGAGUGUGCCGGUCGUGGACGGGUCGUGGGCGGGACUCCCCAGUGUGUCACCACUGAGGCAUCUUCGCCCUCUUACGUGUCUCUGUUUCUCUCUCUAGAAGUCCAACACCUCCGAGAGGACUCAAAACACAGAGUGACCAGCUCCUAUGUGCAUUUCCUGG
Molecule: long non-coding RNA, 389 nt
Filed under: Homo sapiens (human)
Lineage: Eukaryota; Metazoa; Chordata; Mammalia; Primates; Hominidae
Description: long independently transcribed non-coding RNA 1786 (LINC01786)
Source: RNAcentral